RNAcentral lists this ribosomal RNA (800 nucleotides) under uncultured bacterium. RNAcentral's name for it is "bacterial SSU rRNA". It matches the Rfam family "Bacterial small subunit ribosomal RNA", at positions 9 to 806 of the family's 1533-position model. The record is from RNAcentral.
GAGUUUGAUCAUGGCUCAGGAUGAACGCUAGCGGCAGGCCUAAUACAUGCAAGUCGGACGGGAUUGAGGAGCUUGCUUCUCAUGAGAGUGGCGCACGGGUGCGUAACACGUAUGUAACCUACCUUGUUCAGGGGGAUAGCCUCUCGAAAGAGAGAUUAAGACCGCAUAACGUUAUUGAAUGGCAUCAUUUGAUAACCAAAUAUUUAUAGGAACAAGAUGGGCAUGCGGAACAUUAGCUAGUUGGUAAGGUAACGGCUUACCAAGGCUACGAUGUUUAGGGGAUCUGAGAGGAUGACCCCCCACACUGGUACUGAGACACGGACCAGACUCCUACGGGAGGCAGCAGUAAGGAAUAUUGGUCAAUGGGCGGAAGCCUGAACCAGCCAUGCCGCGUGCAGGAAGACGGCCCUACGGGUUGUAAACUGCUUUUAUACGGGAAUAAACCUACUUAUGUAUAAGUAGCUGAAUGUACUGUAAGAAUAAGGAUCGGCUAACUCCGUGCCAGCAGCCGCGGUAAUACGGAGGAUCCAAGCGUUAUCCGGAUUUAUUGGGUUUAAAGGGUGCGUAGGUGGUUCAUUAAGUCAGGGGUGAAAGACGGCAGCUUAACUGUCGCAGUGCCUUUGAUACUGAUGAACUUGAAUGAACUAGAGGUAGGCGGAAUGUGACAAGUAGCGGUGAAAUGCAUAGAUAUGUCACAGAACACCAAUUGCGAAGGCAGCUUACUAUGGUUUGAUUGACACUGAGGCACGAAAGCGUGGGGAUCAAACAGGAUUAGAUACCCUGGUAGUCCACGCCCUAAA